GCCCAGACUCCUACGGGAGGCAGCAGUGGGGAAUAUUGCACAAUGGGGGGAACCCUGAUGCAGCGACGCCGCGUGAGUGAAGAAGUAUUUCGGUAUGUAAAGCUCUAUCAGCAGGGACGAAGAUGACGGUACCUGCAGAAGAAGCCCCGGCUAACUACGUGCCAACAGCCGCGGUAAUACGUAGGGGGCAAGCGUUAUCCGGAUUUACUGGGUGUAAAGGGAGCGUAGACGGCAGUGCAAGUCUGGAGUGAAAGGCGGGGGCUCAACCCCCGGACUGCUCUGGAAACUGUACGGCUGGAGUGCAGGAGAGGUAAGUGGAAUUCCUAGUGUAGCGGUGAAAUGCGUAGAUAUUAGGAGGAACACCAGUGGCGAAGGCGGCUUACUGGACUGUAACUGACGUUGAGGCUCGAAAGCGUGGGGAGCAAACAGGAUUAGAUACCCGUGUAAG
RNAcentral lists this ribosomal RNA (448 nucleotides) under uncultured bacterium. RNAcentral's name for it is "bacterial SSU rRNA". It matches the Rfam family "Bacterial small subunit ribosomal RNA", at positions 329 to 793 of the family's 1533-position model. The record is from RNAcentral.